RNAcentral lists this ribosomal RNA (253 nucleotides) under uncultured bacterium. RNAcentral's name for it is "partial 16S ribosomal RNA". It matches the Rfam family "Bacterial small subunit ribosomal RNA", at positions 524 to 776 of the family's 1533-position model. The record is from RNAcentral.
UACGAAGGGGGCUAGCGUUGUUCGGAAUUACUGGGCGUAAAGCGCACGUAGGCGGUUAUUUAAGUCAGGGGUGAAAUCCCGGAGCUCAACUCCGGAACUGCCUUUGAUACUGGGUACCUAGAGUAUGGAAGAGGUAAGUGGAAUUCCGAGUGUAGAGGUGAAAUUCGUAGAUAUUCGGAGGAACACCAGUGGCGAAGGCGGCUUACUGGUCCAUUACUGACGCUGAGGUGCGAAAGCGUGGGGAGCAAACAGG